UUGACAGCUAUCACCUACCACUCAUAGAUAUCUCUUUCCUCUCACCUGCACGCCACCUAUGCCACUCUCCUCACACUGCACGUUUCCGCUUCCCACACGCCACCUAUCACCUCACUCACUUUAACUCUUUCUCAGUCUCACCUCAUUCAUAUAACCCACUCACUAUUCAGUAGCUCACUGAUAGACUCUCAACGAAAAGAAAAGAAAAGGAUAUUCUUCUCUCUCAUUGGCUAAAAAAACCCAACAGACACAAGAAAAGGGUUCUUUCUGAACGUCUUCUUCUUUCUCCUUCCGCCGGCACACAACCGCACCACAAUAUUCGCUUCACUCCCUCAGUUUGAUUCAACUCGCCGUCUUGCCUUCACCAUCAUAAAAAAGCCCAUCACUCUGAACAUUCAGCAACGCCGGCGACGACCUUCUUCCAGUCGCCGGAAACUCCCACGGAAACCGCUCCCGCCGUGAAUCCAUGACUCGUCACUUCUCAACCUAUCUUCAAGCUCUCACACCUCCACAAACUUCCUCUUCACUGCCGCACAAAUUAACACCGAAAAGGCAAUGCCGCCGUCUUCAUUAUCCGUCACUCCGCUCUCAGCUUAAACCAUCGCCGCGAUAACAUCCAGCUUCACAAAUCGAUAACCCUCUUUUCUAAACUUUUUUCCAUUUGAAAGAACAAAUCUACUAGAAUCUACGAUGGAAGAGCACUGACGUAAAACUCCAAAAGGCCACAGACUCUGCGUUAACAACUGCCGUUCCUGCGAGAGUUCAACCAUAGUGAAUUUUUGUUCAAAAAUUUACUAAAACAGUCAUUUGAAGGAGAAAUAACAAGUCAAAAUGAGAUCUACAACUCGAAGAAAUAUUUUAUUGAUGAUACAUGUGUUAAGGAUAUGCGUUAGUGUUUCCAGCUCAAAUGUAUGAAGCACACCUUUCAACUAAAUAUUUGUAGAUGAAUAUCAUGUUCUGGAAAAUUACCCCACCAACCGAAGCUUAUUCUUCAUAUGUCUACAAGAUUAAUAAUAUUGAUUAGUUAUGAAAUUAAUAUUUCUAGCUGGGAUGUUAAUUUUAGGUUUUUAGUGGUAUCAUGAUUAAUUAGUAGUACGGUAGGGAUGUGAGCCAUUUCUCACAAUUGUGUAGAUUUAUAAUUAAUGGGAAGUCCAUUUUUUUUUCUUUUCCUUUUUUGAUUUGUUAGUGGGAAAAUCAUGUAUUAUUCCUCCUAAGGUGAUGUCAAUUCCAAAUUUAAAAUCAAAUGUGUUUUUGAAUCCCGGCUAGUUGCAAA
Molecule: long non-coding RNA, 1273 nt
Organism: Lathyrus oleraceus (garden pea)
Lineage: Eukaryota; Viridiplantae; Streptophyta; Magnoliopsida; Fabales; Fabaceae
Exons: 2
Source: RefSeq, a predicted model, not a curated record